AGAAACUUCUCAAGGUGAGAUUUUCAGACUCAAAAACCUAACAAUAUUUUCAUGAGUUAUUAAUUAGUUUAUUUUCUUGCAGAUUUUCACCGAGGUAUGUGUACGUUUAUUAUAUAUAUACAGUUGGGAAAAAAAGAGACGUAAAUUAAAAUUUGCAUCUUAUUUCUGAUACUAAUAGGGUGUAGAUAUGCUUAUGGUGGGAGAUCGAUGGGUAGCAGUCCCUGGACCUCUGAAAAACCAAUUGAAGCUUUGUAAGUCAAUUAAUUUUACAAGACUAGUUCUGAAUAACAAAAUUUUGUAUUUUUUUUUAACUCUUUUUGUUUUUCUAUGUGAUAUUUUGAAGACCGUUUUCUACUACCUGACCAGUACGUGUACCCGGACAUAACUGAGGAAGAGGAGGAAGAGAAGAUAAGAAACAAGCCUAGAUAAAUCGCUUGGUAUGACAUAGCUCUUAAUCUCUUUGAUUUACUUUGAAAGAAUCUUAGUUUCACUCAGACUUAUCUUCUUUUCUUUGGACUUUCAGGAGGGUGAUUUGGCUGCCAAACAAAACAUCUUACGAAUUGAGUAAUCUGUAGAAGUUAAGGAUCAUAAACUCUUUUAAUUAUUAUUGUGUUUUGGUGAUUGUUCAUUGAUUUAACAAAGAGAAUUGUAUGUCUUGAUUUGAGUAUUGUUUGCUAGAUUUGUAAAACCUUGUUCUGAGUAACUAUCUUGUAUUCUCAAGUAAGAACAGAGAAGCUAUAACUUCUUCAACUUUAAUUUCUCUGAUAAGCCUUAGAUGGUGUUACAUCUAUCUCCUCUGAUUAUGAUUAUCAAGGCAGCAUGUUUUCAGC
Molecule: long non-coding RNA, 830 nt
Filed under: Brassica napus (rape)
Lineage: Eukaryota; Viridiplantae; Streptophyta; Magnoliopsida; Brassicales; Brassicaceae
Description: long non-coding RNA (BNAP_LNC001476)
Source: RNAcentral